AGGAUGAAUGCUAGCGGCGUGCUUAAGGUAUGCAAGUCGAACGGAUCAUACAAUUGUCUAGCUUGCUAGACACCGUAUGAUUAGUGGCGAACGGCUGAGUAACACGUAGGAAUCUACCCCUAAGUAAGGCAUAGCCCCGCGAAAGCGGGAGUAAUACCUUAUGUGAUGGCAACAUCAAAGAUUUAUCGCUUAGGGACGAGCCUGCGGCCUAUCAGCUUGUUGGUGUGGUAAAAGCUCACCAAGGCUAUGACAGGUACCUGGUCUGAGAGGAUGUUCAGGCAGAGGGGCACUGAGACACGGGCCCCCCUCCUACGGGAGGCAGCAAUCGGGAAUUUUGCGCAAUGGGGGAAACCCUGACGCAGCGACGCCGCGUGGAGGACGAAUGCCUUCGGGUUGUAAACUCCUGAAAAUAGCACCGGCUAACUACGUGCCAGCAGCAGCGGUCAUACGUAGGGUGCGAGCAUUAUCCGGAUUUAUUGGGCGUAAAGAGUUCUGUAGGCGGUGGUAUAAGUCGAGGGUUCAAUCUUCCAGCUCAACUGGAAACCUGCUUUCGAUACUGUAUCACUUGAGGCAACUAGGGGGUAGUAGAACUUAUGGUGAAGCAGUGAAAUGCGUUGAUAUCAUAAGGAAUACCAAGAGGGAAGCCGACUACCUGGGGUUGUCCUGACGCUGAGAGACGAAAGCGUGGGUAGCGAAACGGAUUAGAUACCCGUGUAGUCCACGCCGUAAACGAUGCCUGCUGGAUGCCUGAUUUUUUGGGCGUCGAAGCUAACGCGUUAAGCAGGCCGCCUGGGGAGUACGACCGCAAGGUUAAAACUCAAAGGAAUUGGCGGGGACCCGCACAAGCGGUGGAGCAUGCUCUUUAAUUGGCUGUUAACCCAAAAACCUUACCCAGAUUUGACAUUUUCUCCUUAUGCUUUAUUCGAAAGGACGAAGUUGCUGCUUGUCAGCAGGGAUUAAACAGGUGUUGCAUGGCUGUCGUCAGCUCGUACCGUGAGGCGUACCCUUAAGUGGGUUAACGAGCGCAACCCCUACUGUUAGUUGUAUCACUCUAACGGAACUGCUGCCGUAAGGCGGAGGAAGGUGGGGACGACGUCAAGUCGGUAUUGCCUUUAUGUCUGGGGCUAGAAGCAUGCUACAAUGGCGCGUACAGCGAGUCGCGAUGUGGUGACACAAAGCUAAUCUCUUAAAACGCGUCUCAGUUCAGAUUGAAGUCUGCAAUUCGACUUCAUGAAGUUGGAAUCGCUAGUAAUCGCAGGUCAGCUAUACUGCGGUGAAUACGUUCUCGGGUCUUGCACACACUGCCCAUCGCGCCAGCAAAGCUGGGGUCACCGUAAGUCCUACUUUGGUGGGCCCAUGGUGAAAUCAGUGAUGAGGGCGAAGUUGUAACAAGGUA
This 1396-nucleotide ribosomal RNA is filed under the name metagenome. RNAcentral's name for it is "bacterial SSU rRNA". It matches the Rfam family "Bacterial small subunit ribosomal RNA". The record is from RNAcentral.